AAUGAACGCUGGCGUCAUGCCUAACACAUGCAAGUCGAACGAAGGCUUCGGCCUUAGUGGCGCACGGGUGCGUAACGCGUGGGAAUCUGCCCUCAGGUUCGGAAUAACAGCGAGAAAUUGCUGCUAAUACCGGAUGAUAUCGCGAGAUCAAAGAUUUAUCGCCUGAGGAUGAGCCCGCGUAGGAUUAGCUAGUUGGUGUGGUAAAGGCGCACCAAGGCGACGAUCCUUAGCUGGUCUGAGGGGAUGAUCAGCCACACUGGGACUGAGACAGGGCCCAGACUCCUACUGGAGGCAGCAGUGGGGAAUAUUGGACAAUGGGCGAAAGACUGAUCCAGCAAUGCCGCGUGAGUGAUGAAGGCCUUAGGGUUGUAAAGCUCUUUUACCCGGGAAGAUAAUGACAGUACCGGGAGAAUAAGCUCCGGCUAACUCCGUGCCAGCCGCCGCAGUAA
This 449-nucleotide ribosomal RNA is filed under the name uncultured bacterium. RNAcentral's name for it is "partial 16S ribosomal RNA". It matches the Rfam family "Bacterial small subunit ribosomal RNA", at positions 29 to 523 of the family's 1533-position model. The record is from RNAcentral.